This 62-nucleotide transfer RNA is filed under the name Tetrastigma obtectum. RNAcentral's name for it is "partial tRNA-Phe". The record is from RNAcentral. RNAcentral also lists the same sequence under 1 other name. Lineage: Eukaryota; Viridiplantae; Streptophyta; Magnoliopsida; Vitales; Vitaceae.
UCUUUUUAAUUGACAUAGACCAAGUCCUCUAGUAAAAUGAGGAUGAUGCAUCGGGAAUAGCC